AUAUUGGUGGCUCAGUGGUAGAGUCUCCGUCUCCCACACGGGGGACCCAGGCUUGAAUCCCGGUCGGCGCC
RNAcentral lists this transfer RNA (71 nucleotides) under Anguilla anguilla (European eel). RNAcentral describes it as "tRNA-OTHER". The record is from RNAcentral. Lineage: Eukaryota; Metazoa; Chordata; Actinopteri; Anguilliformes; Anguillidae.